UACGUAGGUGGCAAACGUUGUUCGGAAUCACUGGGCUUAAAGGGCGCGUAGGCGGGCUCGCAAGUCUGUGGUGAAAGCCUCCAGCUUAACUGGAGAAGUGCCGUGGAUACUGCGGGUCCUGAGCAGGGUAGGGGCAUCUGGAACUGCCGGUGGAGCGGUGAAAUGCGUUGAUAUCGGCAGGAACUCCGAUGGCGAAAGCAAGGUGCUGGACCCUUUCUGACGCCGAGGCGCGAAAGCCAGGGGAGCAAAC
This 250-nucleotide ribosomal RNA is filed under the name uncultured bacterium. Its description in RNAcentral is "partial 16S ribosomal RNA". It matches the Rfam family "Bacterial small subunit ribosomal RNA", at positions 524 to 773 of the family's 1533-position model. The record is from RNAcentral.